GUGAAUCAUCAAAUCUUUGAACGCAAAUUGCGCCUUUUUCGGACGGCAUGUCUGUUUGAGGGCAACAUUUAACAAAUAUUGUGCAUGGUGUGUGUUUUUUUAUGUAAACGUGCACACGUUGAUGCGCUUUUACAAAAAAAGAAAAUUUUUUGGAGGCACGUAAUGAACAGCGUGAGCUUUAAUCCAAUUUUUUCG
This 195-nucleotide unclassified non-coding RNA is filed under the name Paraglomerales sp. Its description in RNAcentral is "partial contains 5.8S ribosomal RNA and internal transcribed spacer 2". The stretch from base 1 to 65 matches the Rfam family "5.8S ribosomal RNA", at positions 84 to 154 of the family's 154-position model. The record is from RNAcentral. Lineage: Eukaryota; Fungi; Glomeromycota; Glomeromycetes; Paraglomerales.